GUCCUCCUUGAUUCAUGGAUGAAACCUGGAACAUCUUGAGGACUGAGUUAACCAUAGGUCCUUAAAUAACUCUCCACACGUUUUUCUUAGUUUAUCUCUACAUGCAGGGUGUGCAGCAGCCUGUUCAAAGUCAUAUUUUCUGGGAAAUAUUUCCAGUGUUUAUUUGCACUUUAGCCCACUCUGUGUAGCCUUAUUUCUUCUAAACUCACCAUUAACCUGAAUAAUAGUCAAAUUUAGGGGGACUGUAUUUGCCUUACUUGAGUCUUCUACCAUAGUUGAAACUGUCGUACCCGAGUGAGUUAGAGAGAAAUGCCACGCAUUGAGACGAAUUCAGGAGUCCUUUACUAGCCAGCGACUGAGACAUGGCUAACGCACGAAAUUCUCUCGGCCCUGAAGAAGGGACUA
This 405-nucleotide long non-coding RNA is filed under the name Homo sapiens (human). Its description in RNAcentral is "HSALNT0270793". The record is from RNAcentral. Lineage: Eukaryota; Metazoa; Chordata; Mammalia; Primates; Hominidae.